Molecule: long non-coding RNA, 1134 nt
Organism: Bos indicus x Bos taurus (hybrid cattle)
Lineage: Eukaryota; Metazoa; Chordata; Mammalia; Artiodactyla; Bovidae
Source: Ensembl
GCCGGAGGCUCAGGAAUGGGACUGAGUCACACAGUCCCCUGUUGGCCCAAGAGUCGUCUUUGGUCUUCCCUUGGGCUACUCUCACUUUGAAAAUUUCUGCCCUUCUUGAUCAAGUACUGCACGCAGUUAUCUCGUUUUCAGUCUUAAGUCAGAUCAGCACUGCUAGCUUCUGGGUGGAAUUUGGAUUUUUGCCUGCUUGGCCUUGCUUCAUUUCGGACAGUUCCUGACUCGGGAACCAGGCCCACCCGCCCUGCCAAGGAGCUUCACCUUGAAACUGAAAGAGUGGCUCCCAUCCGCAUCUACAGAUUCCUGCUGCCCCAUCCCGGUUAAGACUCCGUCUCGUGGGAGGACAAGCAGCCGGACAAUUUAUUACCGUCAUUUCUACGUCCAUUCCGCUUUCCAUUUUGAUAUUAAAUUAUCUGCCAUAAAGUGGGAGGAAUUAUGGUCUGUGGGCCUUUCCCUUCUCCCUGCUCUUUAUGUGGACAGGCUGCUGGGAAGAAUGCCCCUUCUCAACCAGAGGAUGUGGCGGGUCAGGAAGUCGGAGGGUCACACCUCGGAGCCACUUUCUGCUUCUCCAUCGGCCAGUAUUUGCCUCAUGUCUGCCCGGAGGAGGUGUAGGGGUGGAUGGCUCUUUGUGUGGACCACACGAAGCUUCCAGUCUAUUCCAGGAACAUAGGAGACGGGCAUGCUGAGCAGCAAUGCUGUCGGGGGUGGAAGGACCUCUAGCAGCUGGGAUGUGGGGACAGGUGUCCCAGAGCCCUGGGCGGGGUUUCCCAGAAAGAUGGUCAGCACAGCCCCGAGCUGGGCGGUGGCCAGAGUGGGAGGAGGAUGCUGGAAGCCGGGGCGUGAGCCUGGAGCCCUAGCCAGGGGACCCCCAGGCUGAACAGACAAGCGAUCGCCCCAGGCUUGCACCAGGAAGACGGAGGGCCAGGAACCUCUCAUCGUGGACCCACUGCUUUGAAUCUCACUCAAGAGGUGAGGCUGACGACGUGAGAUGUCCUUGGAGGUGAGGACUUUGGAGUUUAUCCGGAGGGCCUGCUCACAGCCACCCCGAGAGGGGCUGUUACGCACGGGCCCCCUCCCAGGUCGCAGCUGUGCAGGGGUGGACUCGGGGCCCCUGGAGCUCAGAGGAGC